This 274-nucleotide ribosomal RNA is filed under the name uncultured bacterium. RNAcentral's name for it is "partial 16S ribosomal RNA". It matches the Rfam family "Bacterial small subunit ribosomal RNA", at positions 30 to 326 of the family's 1533-position model. The record is from RNAcentral.
AUUGAACGCUGGCGGCAUGGCUAAAACAUGCAAGUCGAACGUGUGCAGCAAUGCAUAAGUGGCGAAAGGGUCAGUAAUGCGAUCGAACGUACCCUGAGGUGGAGGAUAGGGCGGGGAGACUCGCCAUAAUACUCCAUGAUGUCCUCGGACCAAAGGUUUACCGCCUUGGGAGCGGCGAUCGUCCUAUCAGGUAGUUGGUGAGGUAAAGGCUCACCAAGCCGAAGACGGGUAGCAGGUGUGAGAGCACGACCUGCGACAUCGGGGACUGAAGACA